Molecule: long non-coding RNA, 527 nt
Organism: Pieris napi
Lineage: Eukaryota; Metazoa; Arthropoda; Insecta; Lepidoptera; Pieridae
Exons: 2
Source: RefSeq, a predicted model, not a curated record
UUCGUUUUUUAUUUUCUUUUAGCGAUAAGAAUUAGGUCUGAAACUAUCCCUUAAAGACGAAAGUUGAGGUGCAAAUGUUUUCUCCGAACUUUGCAUCAUUUAUUUAAUAGAAACAGAAAAAGACAAAUAAUAUAUAAAGUAAGAGUAUAUCAAUAUGAAGUUGACAGCAGACAGGAAGGCAUAGUGAAUUUAAAUUAUUAAUAAUUGUUUCUGAAAUGAAACAGUAGAUGAAUGCGAAAACAUGUCGACAUCAGCGAUGGCAUCGAGUUAAGUACACAUUCUGUAGAGAUGCGCGGACACCAAUAUUAUUAAUAAAUAUUUAUAAAUUUUCAGACGUUUGUGUUUUUAAGGUUUUGGGUGAUGAUGAAAAAGUUUACGAUAAUUGGUUUUACAAUCUCGUUCAGGGUAAUGUUCUGGUAACGUGGACCAAACGGAUGUUGCUACGUACCUACUGUAAAUGAUGCGCAUUUUUAAUUUUUUAGGUUUAGGAAUAUUAACUAAUUUAUCAAUCAACGCAAACUAAUAUC